Long non-coding RNA from Meriones unguiculatus (Mongolian gerbil), 1628 nucleotides. RefSeq lists it as uncharacterized. NCBI's taxonomy places the organism in Eukaryota, Metazoa, Chordata, Mammalia, Rodentia, Muridae. The transcript is spliced from 2 exons. The record is from RefSeq and is a predicted model, not a curated record.
CAGCCAGCCACAGAUCCCCACCUUUGCAGGAUGCCAGAUUCCCCAGGUCCUCCAGGGCAUUAGGUGGGCAGCCUUGGUCUCUGAGUCCUCCCGCUGGGGAGCGCACCUGACGCGGCGGGCGUGCCGGCGGGCGUGGCGGCGGGGCUGACGUGGCCCGCGGCGUGGAGCAGGCGUGAUUCAUCAGCGGCCGCGGAGCGCUAUGGGGAUGAGCACAGCGGCCGCCUAGGCGCGUCCCCUGCGCGGAUCUCUGGGUCGGGGGCCUGGCUGUGGGAAGGCCAAGAUGGAAGAGAUCCUGAGGAAGCUGCAGAGGGACGCAUCCGGGAGCAAAUACAAAGCCAUCAAGGAGAGCUGCACCUGGGCCCUGGGUAAGCAAGGGCGAUCAAUGCUCUGGAGGCGAGGAGGACGCAGAAGGAGCCAGGUGGGUCCCAGAAAGGCUGGUGCGAUUUGCAGGAGCUCUUCCCCGGAAGGAGGAUGUUCCUGUUGCUGACCAUGGUGAAUUCUGUCCUGAUGGUGGACAAAGAGCUGUAUUGGGCUUAUGGUCCUGACCCACCUUUGUUUCAUUCUGCCCCUGGGAGAAGAUAUUAUGCAGAGAAACCUCUUAGAUACAGUGUGACUGGACAUGAUUGAUCUGGUAAUCAAGACAAUUCUCAACAAGAUCAGGAAGAAUGAAAAAGAGGACUGAAUAUGGGACUUUGAUCUGAUUCCGGUUUUCAGCAGACCUGUAUUUGGAAGAUUGCCACAGAAACACUUGGGAGGCCCUGUAACUGCCUAUGUACAUCCUCCUUAUGCUUUGUCGUUUGGAAAUGUUAAUGUUUUUAUACAAGAUUCAAGCUUUAAUGUUUCUUGCCAUCAAUGUAAACUAACAAACUGCAUUUCUAAGCUUUCAAAUGAACAAUAGGUUCUGAUUGUUCGACAGUCUUUUAUUAUAGUUCUUAUAAAUGUUUCUCAGGCUUGGUAUUUGGAUAAGUGGUCAUCUUUUAAGUCACUUUUAUGGAGUGUUAUUGGACUUGGAGUAUUACUUUUAUUAGGAGCAUGUCUCCUACCAGUGAUAAUUAAAUCCUUCAUCAAGGCCUUUUGGAAUGUUAUAGCUGAUCUGCAUAAGAAUAAACCCCAGUGUCCACCCUAGCGGAGGUUGGUAGUCAAAGACGGUUAGAUCUCUCUGGAGAAUAUUCAACCUAAGAGGACAUGAAUUAUGGAAUUCAUGUACCAGUGACAGGUAAGAAUAUAUAUUUCAAGAGAGACAACCUAAGAAAUGCACAACCUUUGCUCCAUAGCUCUUAGUUAUGAUCAAUUUUUAAAAUACAAAAAAGGGAGACCUGUGGGGAGCCAGGGUGCUUUGUUAUUUAGAUAUCAGCAGAAAGUCAUGUUUUCACCCUGGCUUUCACCUGGAGUCAGUGAUAAGCAGAAUGUUUUGCCAAGUCUACCUCCUUUUGUUUGAGACAACAGGUGAGAUGUCUUGUAAAGUUCACACCUUUUGUUUCUGUGAGGAUCACAGAGACCCAUGGUAGAGGUAAAGAAGAUUGACUUCUCUGUGAAUUCAUUCAUUGUGCCUUUGCUCUAACUUGAAAAGGGAUUGCUGGAAUAAACUGGGGCAACUAGAUUUUCUACUGGAAGCCCUCUUGGACAGA